AUAGCGUAUAUUAAAGUUGUUGCAGUUAAAAAGCUCGUAGUUGAAUUUUGGGUUUGGCCGAUUGGUCCGUUCUUGUAGCGAGUACUGGUCGGUUGGGCCUCACCGCUUGGGGAAGCGUAAUGUCCUUUAUUGGGUGUUGCGAAUAUCCAAGACCUUUACCUUGAAAAAAUUAGAGUGUUUAAAGCAGGCAUAUGCCAGAAUACAUUAGCAUGGAAUAAUAGAAUAGGACAAUGAUUCUAUUUUGUUGGUUUCUAGGACCGUUGUAAUGAUUAAUAGGGAUAGUUGGGGGCAUUAGUAUUCAAUUGUCAGAGGUGAAAUUCUUGGAUUUACUGAAGACUAACUACUG
RNAcentral lists this ribosomal RNA (346 nucleotides) under uncultured eukaryote. RNAcentral's name for it is "bacterial SSU rRNA". It matches the Rfam family "Eukaryotic small subunit ribosomal RNA", at positions 594 to 945 of the family's 1831-position model. The record is from RNAcentral.